CAAUAGCGUAUAUUAAAGUUGUUGCAGUUAAAAAGCUCGUAGUUGGAUUUCUGGUGGGAGCGAUCGGUCUGGCGCUUAGCGCGAGUACUUGCAUCGUCUCCGGCCAUCCUUGGGGGGAGUCUGUCUGGCAUUAGGUUGUCGGGCAGAGGAUCCUCAUCGUUUACUGGGAAAAAAUUAGAGUGUUCAAAGCAGGCUUAUGCCGUUGAAUAUAUUAGCAUGGAAUAAUAAGAUAGGACUUUGGUACUAUUUUGUUGGUUUGCGCACCAAAGUAAUGAUUAAUAGGGACAGUUGGGGGUAUUCGUAUUCCGUUGUCAGAGGUGAAAUUCUUGGAUUUACGGAAGACGAACUACUGCGAAAGCAUUUACCAAGGAUGUUUUCAUUAA
This 383-nucleotide ribosomal RNA is filed under the name uncultured eukaryote. Its description in RNAcentral is "partial 18S ribosomal RNA". It matches the Rfam family "Eukaryotic small subunit ribosomal RNA", at positions 592 to 976 of the family's 1831-position model. The record is from RNAcentral.